UUCCAGACUCCUACGGGAGGCAGCAGUGGGGAAUAUUGCACAAUGGGGGAAACCCUGAUGCAGCGACGCCGCGUGAGUGAAGAAGUAUCUCGGUACGUAAAGCUCUAUCAGCAGGGAAGAAAAUGACGGUACCUGACUAAGAAGCCCCGGCUAACUACGUGCCAGCAGCCGCGGUAAUACGUAGGGGGCAAGCGUUAUCCGGAUUUACUGGGUGUAAAGGGAGCGUAGACGGCAGCGCAAGUCUGGAGUGAAAUGCCGGGGCCCAACCCCGGAACUGCUUUGGAAACUGUGCAGCUCGAGUGCAGGAGAGGUAAGCGGAAUUCCUAGUGUAGCGGUGAAAUGCGUAGAUAUCAGGAGGAACACCGGUGGCGAAGGCGGCUUACUGGACCAUAACUGACGUUGAGGCUCGAAAGCGUGGGGAGCGAACAGGAUUAGAUACCCUCGUAAG
Molecule: ribosomal RNA, 448 nt
Filed under: uncultured bacterium
Lineage: Bacteria
Description: bacterial SSU rRNA
Rfam family: Bacterial small subunit ribosomal RNA
Source: RNAcentral